GCUUGGCUGGCUCAGUUGGUUAAGCUUCUGACUUUGGCUCAGGUCAUGAUCUCGCAGUUUGUGGGUUCAAGCCUCAUGUCGGGCU
Molecule: transfer RNA, 85 nt
Filed under: Felis catus (domestic cat)
Lineage: Eukaryota; Metazoa; Chordata; Mammalia; Carnivora; Felidae
Rfam family: tRNA
About the family: Transfer RNA (tRNA) molecules are approximately 80 nucleotides in length. Their secondary structure includes four short double-helical elements and three loops (D, anti-codon, and T loops). Further hydrogen bonds mediate the characteristic L-shaped molecular structure. tRNAs have two regions of fundamental functional importance: the anti-codon, which is responsible for specific mRNA codon recognition, and the 3' end, to which the tRNAs corresponding amino acid is attached (by aminoacyl-tRNA synthetases). tRNAs cope with the degeneracy of the genetic code in two manners: having more than one tRNA (with a specific anti-codon) for a particular amino acid; and 'wobble' base-pairing, i.e. permitting non-standard base-pairing at the 3rd anti-codon position.
Source: Rfam by way of RNAcentral